This 1002-nucleotide ribosomal RNA is filed under the name Triticum aestivum (bread wheat). RNAcentral describes it as "partial small subunit ribosomal RNA". Lineage: Eukaryota; Viridiplantae; Streptophyta; Magnoliopsida; Poales; Poaceae. The record is from RNAcentral.
AUGGCCGCGGCUACAUCUCACAAUGCCAUAGUGUCUACACAAUCCCACCGGUGGAACGGCAAGAACUCUAGAUUGGACAGGAGAGCAGCCAAUGUGCGUUUGGUUUCAGUUGGAAGUUGCUGCCCAGGCAGCGGAAAGUUGGGUCUGGUUUGUGCAUCGGGCUCAAAGUCUUCGGUCAUCGACCCGGUUCACCUACCCUCGAACGGCAAGGGUGGCCACAGCCCUAAGAAAUCAAGUGAAAGUUCCCUUAUAUUGAUCCGGCACGGCGAGUCGAUGUGGAACGAGAAAAAUCUGUUUACUGGCUGCGUCGAUGUGCCCCUGACACCGAAGGGCGUGGAGGAGGCCAUCGAGGCGGGUAAGAGGAUAUGCAACAUUCCAAUCGAUGUGAUAUUUACGUCGGCGAUGAUCCGUUCUCAGAUGACUGCAAUGCUUGCCAUGAUGCAGCAUCGACGCAAGAAAGUUCCAAUUAUCACACAUAAGGAGAGCGAACAAGCUCAAAGUUGGAGUAAGAUAUACAGUGAAGAUACAAAAGAACAGUCCAUUCCUGUCAUAACAGCUUGGCAACUGAACGAACGGAUGUAUGGUGAGUUGCAAGGUCUCAAUAAGCAAGAAACUGCAGAUCGGUUUGGCAAAGAACAAGUUCAUGAAUGGCGCCGUAGUUACGACACUCCUCCCCCAAAUGGAGAGAGCCUAGAGAUGUGUGCAGACAGAGCCGUUUCUUAUUUCAAAGAUCAGGUUGUUCCCCAUCUCACGGCUGGAAAGCAUGUGAUGGUUGCUGCACAUGCAAAUUCACUUCGAUCAAUUAUAAUGCAUCUGGACAAAUUGACAUCUCAGGAGGUAAUCAGCCUUGAGUUGUCGACAGGCAUUCCUAUGCUCUACAUAUUUAAGGAAGGGGAGUUUAUCAGACGGGGGAGCCCAGUAGGACCUUCUGAAGCAAGUGUUUAUGCUUAUACAAGGAACUUGGCUACGUACAGAGACACGCUUGAUAGUAUGGUUCAGUAA